GAUGAAGAACGCAGCGAAAUGCGAUAAGUAAUGUGAAUUGCAGAAUUCAGUGAAUCAUCGAAUCUUUGAACGCACAUUGCGCCCCCUGGUAUUCCGGGGGGCAUGCCUGUCCGAGCGUCAUUACAACCCUCAAGCUCAGCUUGGUGUUGGGCCCCGCCGCCCCGGCGGGCCCUAAAGUCAGUGGCGGUGCCGUCCGGCUCCGAGCGUAGUAAUUCUUCUCGCUCUGGAGGUCCGGUCGUGUGCUCGCCAGCAACCCCCAAUUUUUUUCAGGUUGACCUCGGAUCAGGUAGGGAUACCCGCUGAACUUGAGCAUAUCAAUAAGCGGAGGA
Molecule: unclassified non-coding RNA, 329 nt
Filed under: soil metagenome
Description: partial contains 5.8S ribosomal RNA, internal transcribed spacer 2, and large subunit ribosomal RNA
Rfam family: 5.8S ribosomal RNA (bases 1-120)
Source: RNAcentral